Transfer RNA from Enterocytozoon bieneusi H348, 73 nucleotides. It matches the Rfam family "tRNA". From Rfam's summary of the family: Transfer RNA (tRNA) molecules are approximately 80 nucleotides in length. Their secondary structure includes four short double-helical elements and three loops (D, anti-codon, and T loops). Further hydrogen bonds mediate the characteristic L-shaped molecular structure. tRNAs have two regions of fundamental functional importance: the anti-codon, which is responsible for specific mRNA codon recognition, and the 3' end, to which the tRNAs corresponding amino acid is attached (by aminoacyl-tRNA synthetases). tRNAs cope with the degeneracy of the genetic code in two manners: having more than one tRNA (with a specific anti-codon) for a particular amino acid; and 'wobble' base-pairing, i.e. permitting non-standard base-pairing at the 3rd anti-codon position. The record is from Rfam. NCBI's taxonomy places the organism in Eukaryota, Fungi, Microsporidia, Enterocytozoonidae.
GCCUCCUUAGCUCAGUCGGUAGAGCAUUGGACUUUUAAUCCAUUGGUCGUGGGUUCGAGUCCCAUAGGGGGUG